CGCCUCCUGCAAAUAGAAUGUAUUGGAGGUCCUGCCUGCCCAGUGACAAUAGGUUCAACGGCCGCGGUAUUUUGACCGUGCAAAGGUAGCGUAAUCACCUGUCUUUUAAAUAAAGACCUGUAUGAAUGGCAAGACGAGGGUUUUACUGUCUCCUCCCCCCAGUCAAUGAAAUUGAUCUACCCGUGCAGAAGCGGGUAUAAAAACAUAAGACGAGAAGACCCUAUGGAGCUUUAGGCACACAUCAAAUAUGUAAAAAACCAAAUCUUCCAAAUAGGCCUAAAAAAUGAGAAAAACAAGUAUUAAUGAUUAAUUGCCUUCGGUUGGGGCGACCACGGGGAAAAAUAAAACCCCCACAUGGAAUGGGUAAAAUUAUCCUAAGCCAAGAAAAACAAUUCUAAGCAACAAAAUUUUUGACCAAUAAACGACCCAGGGAUAACAUCCCUGAGCAAUGAACCAAGUUACCCUAGGGAUAACAGCGCAAUCCUUUCCCAGAGCCCAUAUCAACGAAAGGGUUUACGACCUCGAUGUUGGAUCAGGGCAUCCUAACGGUGCAGCCGCUGUUAAGGGUUCGUUUGUUCAACGAUUAAUAGCCCU
RNAcentral lists this ribosomal RNA (594 nucleotides) under Conger myriaster (whitespotted conger). Its description in RNAcentral is "partial 16S ribosomal RNA". It matches the Rfam family "Bacterial large subunit ribosomal RNA", at positions 1817 to 2597 of the family's 2925-position model. The record is from RNAcentral. Lineage: Eukaryota; Metazoa; Chordata; Actinopteri; Anguilliformes; Congridae.